RNAcentral lists this ribosomal RNA (481 nucleotides) under uncultured bacterium. RNAcentral's name for it is "bacterial SSU rRNA". It matches the Rfam family "Bacterial small subunit ribosomal RNA", at positions 21 to 507 of the family's 1533-position model. The record is from RNAcentral.
GGCUCAGGAUGAACGCUGGCGGCGUGCCUAACACAUGCAAGUCGAACGAAGCGGCUCAAAGUUUUCGGACAGAGAGUUGACUGAGUGGCGGACGGGUGAGUAACGCGUGAGGAACCUGCCUUUCAGUGGGGGACAACAGUUGGAAACGACUGCUAAUACCGCAUAACAUGAUCGGACCGCAUGAUCUGAUCAUCAAAGCUUUAUGUGCUGAAAGAUGGUCUCGCGUCUGAUUAGCUUGUUGCGGGGUAACGGCCCACCAAGGCGACGAUCAGUAGCCGGUCUGAGAGGUUGAACGGCCACAUUGGGACUGAGACACGGCCCAGACUCCUACGGGAGGCAGCAGUGGGGGAUAUUGCACAAUGGGGGAAACCCUGAUGCAGCAACGCCGCGUGAGGGAAGAAGGUUUUCGGAUUGUAAACCUCUGUUUUCAGUGAAGAAACAAAUGACGGUAGCUGAAGAGGAAGCCACGGCUAACUACGUG